AAGACUAUGCUUUCAGGGAUCAUUCCUAUAGUUUGUUAGUAUAGAAGUUUCUCUGACUGUGUAGAGCACUUGAAACCAUGUUGACAAUACAUACCAUCCCCUCUUGAGCAUGAAGCCAGUUCUAGGUGUUGCUUCACUGCAACAGCCUCCAGCCAUUGAUGAUCGUUCUUCUCUCCUUUGGCAGAGUGAGAGGGAGGGAGUGCAGUCUGAGUGGA
Arvicanthis niloticus (Nile rat) is the source of this 215-nucleotide non-coding RNA. The record is from RefSeq and is a predicted model, not a curated record. NCBI's taxonomy places the organism in Eukaryota, Metazoa, Chordata, Mammalia, Rodentia, Muridae.